AGCCGCGAGGUAGAAGAGCAUUCGCCGGAGUGCAAAUCCGGAGACGUACACUAGGGUGUACCGUGGCUU
Molecule: transfer RNA, 69 nt
Filed under: Isopachys gyldenstolpei
Lineage: Eukaryota; Metazoa; Chordata; Lepidosauria; Squamata; Scincidae
Description: tRNA-Cys
Source: RNAcentral